Molecule: ribosomal RNA, 1495 nt
Filed under: uncultured Bordetella sp.
Lineage: Bacteria; Pseudomonadati; Pseudomonadota; Betaproteobacteria; Burkholderiales; Alcaligenaceae
Description: partial 16S-23S ribosomal RNA intergenic spacer
Rfam family: Bacterial small subunit ribosomal RNA
Source: RNAcentral
AGUUUGAUCCGGCCUGGGAUUUCGAACGCUGGCGGGAUGCUUUACACAUGCAAGUCGAACGGCAGCACGGACUUCGGUCUGGUGGCGAGUAAGGAAACGGGAAAGUAAAUGUAUCGAAACGUGCCUAGUAGCGGGGGAUAACUACGCGAAAGCGUAGCUAAUACCGCAUACGCCCUCGGGGGAAAGCGGGGGACCUUCGGGCCUCGCACUAUUAGAGCGGCUGAUAUCGGAUUAGCUAGUUGGUGGGGUAACGGCUCACCAAGGCGACGUGAUCCGUAGCUGGUUUGAGAGGACGACCAGCCACACUGGGACUGAGACACGGCCCAGACUCCUACGGGAGGCAGCAGUGGGGAAUUUGGACAAUGGGGGAAACCCUGAUCCAGCCAUCCCGCGUGUGCGAUGAAGGCCUUCGGGUUGUAAAGCACUUUUGGCAGGAAAGAAACGGCACGGGAUAAUACCCCGUGCAACUGACGGUACCUGCAGAAUAAGCACCGGCUAACUACGCCAGCAGCCGCGGUAAUACGUAGGGUGCAAGCGUUAAUCGGAAUUACUGGGCGUAAGCGUGCGCAGGCGGUUCGGAAAGAAAGAUGUGAAAUCCGCAGGAGCUAACUUUGAACUGCAUUUUUACAACUACCGAGCUAGAGUGUGUCAGAGGGAGGUGGAAUUCCGCGUGUAGCAGUGAAAUGCGUAGAUAUGCGGAGGAACACCGAUGGCGAAGGCAGCCUCCGGGAUAACACUGACGCUCAUGCACGAAAGCGUGGGAGCAAACAGGAUUAGAUACUCCGGUAGUCCACGCUCAAACGAUGUCAACUAGCUGUUGGGGCCUUCGGGCCUGGUAGCGCAGCUAACGCGUGAAGUUGACCGCCUGGGAGUACAGCCGUAAGAUUAAAACUCAAAGGAAUUGACGGGGACCCGCACAAGCGGUGGAUGAUGUGUAGAUUAAUUCGAUGCAACGCGAAAAACCUUACCUACCCUUGACAUGUCUGGAAUCCCGAAGAGAUUUGGGAGUGCUCGCAAGAGAACCGGAACACAGGUGCUGCAUGGCUGUCGUCAGCUCGUGUCGUGAGAUGUUGGGUUAAGUCCCGUAACGAGCGCAACCCUUGUCAUUAGUUGCUACGAAAGGGCACUCUAUAUCGAGACUGCCGGUGACAAACCGGAGGAAGGUGGGGAUGACGUGUCAAGUCCUCAUGGCCCUUAUGGGUAGGGCUUCACACGUCAUACAAUGGUCGGGACAGAGUGGUCGCCAACCCGCGAGGGGGAGCCAAUCCCAGAAACCCGAUCGUAGUCCGGAUCGCAGUCUGCAACUCGACUGCGUGAAGUCGGAAUCGCUAGUAAUCGCGGAUCAGCAUGUCGCGGUGAAUACGUUCCCGGGGUCUUGUACACACCGCCUGUCACACCAUGGGAGUGGGGUUUUACCAGAAGUAGUUAGCCUAACCGUAAGGAGGGCGAUUACCACGGUAGGAUUCAUGACUGGGGUGAAGUCGUAACAAGGUAG